This 253-nucleotide ribosomal RNA is filed under the name uncultured bacterium. RNAcentral's name for it is "partial 16S ribosomal RNA". It matches the Rfam family "Bacterial small subunit ribosomal RNA", at positions 524 to 776 of the family's 1533-position model. The record is from RNAcentral.
UACGGGGGGGGCAAGCGUUGUUCGGAAUUACUGGGCGUAAAGGGCUCGUAGGCGGCCAACUAAGUCAGACGUGAAAUCCCUCGGCUUAACCGGGGAACUGCAUCUGAUACUGGAUGGCUUGAGUUCGGGAGAGGGAUGCGGAAUUCCAGGUGUAGCGGUGAAAUGCGUAGAUAUCUGGAGGAACACCGGUGGCGAAGGCGGCGAUCUGGGAAGAUACUGACGCUGAGGUGCGAAAGCGUGGGGAGCAAACAGG